CUGAGGUCUUAGAAUGAAUUAAAAGGAAUUCAUUCCUUUGCCUUAACAAUGAAAAUGUAAUGAAUGAAGAAAGUGAAUGAAGGGACAGACAAGUAAACUGGAGUAUGAAUUCCUUGUGAGUGUGCAGUAUAAGCUCUUAGAGUUCAUGUUCAUGAAUUUAAGCUGGAUUCAACAGCACUGGAUUCAACUACACUGCUUUUCUUCAGAUACAUCCUGCAGCAUUGUAAGUAUAGAACAGGUCAACAAUAAAUGUAUAGUUUCCUGAUGAGAAGGCAACAGUUGAAGGUCAUAGGUCUGCAUCUAUUUCCUAUUGAACAGCUUUGCUGGUCACAAAAGCACAGACCUCAGUUCUAUUGUUCUCAUCAUAACUCAAGUCACCACUUUCUCUUCAAAAGAUGUAAACCCAAGACUAUGGUGUUCUCCCCCAAACUCUGAACUUCACCAAGAAAUCAACUUUUGGGUUUUUGUUCCUUUGUUUUUUUCCUGGAUACUGGUUCUGAGUAUUCAGCUACGACAGGAGCUAAUUUAUGGGAUAAAACUCAGUACACAUUUAUUGAGUGAAUAAUCUACUAGGAGCCGCAUAUGUGUCAUUCUUCAUACUUCAGUUUCCUUGGUGAAGAAA
Molecule: long non-coding RNA, 622 nt
Filed under: Cricetulus griseus (Chinese hamster)
Lineage: Eukaryota; Metazoa; Chordata; Mammalia; Rodentia; Cricetidae
Description: lncRNA (ENSCGRG00015041603.1)
Source: RNAcentral